UCCUCGAUGGUCUAGUGGUUAUGAUUUCCGCUUGUCAUGGUUUAUCCAUACAAGCGCGGGAGAGCAGGGUUCGAUUCCCUGUCGGGGAG
RNAcentral lists this transfer RNA (89 nucleotides) under Aspergillus taichungensis. RNAcentral's name for it is "tRNA-Asp". It matches the Rfam family "tRNA". From Rfam's summary of the family: Transfer RNA (tRNA) molecules are approximately 80 nucleotides in length. Their secondary structure includes four short double-helical elements and three loops (D, anti-codon, and T loops). RNAcentral also lists the same sequence under 1 other name. Lineage: Eukaryota; Fungi; Ascomycota; Eurotiomycetes; Eurotiales; Aspergillaceae. The record is from RNAcentral.